CCUAGGGGUGGCAGCAGUGGGGAAUAUUGGACAAUGGGCGAAAGCCUGAUCCAGCCAUGCCGCGUGUGUGAAGAAGGCCUUCGGGUUGUAAAGCACUUUCAGUGGGGAAGAAAGCCUUGGGGCUAAUACCCUCGAGGAAGGACAUCACCCACAGAAGAAGCACCGGCUAACUCCGUGCCAGCAGCCGCGGUAAUACGGAGGGUGCGAGCGUUAAUCGGAAUUACUGGGCGUAAAGCGCGCGUAGGCGGUCUGAUAAGCCGGUUGUGAAAGCCCCGGGCUCAACCUGGGAACGGCAUCCGGAACUGUCAGGCUAGAGUGCAGGAGAGGAAGGUAGAAUUCCCGGUGUAGCGGUGAAAUGAGUAGAGAUCGGGAGGAAUACCAGUGGCGAAGGCGGCCUUCUGGACUGACACUGACGCUGAGGUGCGAAAGCGUGGGUAGCAAACAGGAUUAGAUACCCUUGUAGUC
RNAcentral lists this ribosomal RNA (465 nucleotides) under Vreelandella stevensii. RNAcentral's name for it is "partial 16S ribosomal RNA". It matches the Rfam family "Bacterial small subunit ribosomal RNA", at positions 338 to 795 of the family's 1533-position model. Lineage: Bacteria; Pseudomonadati; Pseudomonadota; Gammaproteobacteria; Oceanospirillales; Halomonadaceae. The record is from RNAcentral.